This 210-nucleotide unclassified non-coding RNA is filed under the name uncultured fungus. RNAcentral describes it as "partial contains 18S rRNA, ITS1, 5.8S rRNA, ITS2 and 28S rRNA". The record is from RNAcentral. Lineage: Eukaryota; Fungi.
AAGGAUCAUUACUGCUUGCUAACGGCCUCCAGGAGGGAAACCCCCCGGAGGUACGGGCAAUGCCACCCUUGUCUAUGUAUACCUAUUGUUAUUUCCCUCGGCGGGGCGACCCGCCGCUGGGGACACCAUAAACCCUCUUGUAUGAAGCAUCAAACCUUCUGAAACAAAACUAAAUAAUUACAACUUUCAACAAUGGAUCUCUUGGUUCUG